AACGUAGGACGCAAGCGUUAUCCGGAAUUACUGGGCGUAAAGCGCGUGCAGGUGGUUUUAUAAGUCACUGUUGAAAGCUCCCGGCUAAACUGGGAGAGGUGCGGUGAGACUGUAGAGCUAGAGUUUGGGAGAGGGGUGCGGAAUUCCGGGUGUAGUGGUGAAAUGCGUAGAGAUCCGGAGGAACACCAGAGGCGAAGGCGGCACCCUGGCCUAAUACUGACACUGAGACGCGAAAGCAUGGGGAGCGAACGGG
RNAcentral lists this ribosomal RNA (253 nucleotides) under uncultured bacterium. RNAcentral describes it as "partial 16S ribosomal RNA". It matches the Rfam family "Bacterial small subunit ribosomal RNA", at positions 524 to 776 of the family's 1533-position model. The record is from RNAcentral.